GACCCGUUAGCUCAGUCGGCAGAGCAACUGCCUUUUAAGCAGUGGGUCCGGGGUUCGAAUCCCCGACGGGUCACCA
RNAcentral lists this transfer RNA (76 nucleotides) under Oscillospiraceae bacterium. Its description in RNAcentral is "tRNA-Lys". It matches the Rfam family "tRNA". From Rfam's summary of the family: Transfer RNA (tRNA) molecules are approximately 80 nucleotides in length. Their secondary structure includes four short double-helical elements and three loops (D, anti-codon, and T loops). The record is from RNAcentral. Lineage: Bacteria; Bacillati; Bacillota; Clostridia; Eubacteriales; Oscillospiraceae. RNAcentral also lists the same sequence under 1 other name.